UCGAGAAUUUUUCUCAAUGGGGGAAACCCUGAAGGAGCGACGCCGCGUGGAGGAUGAAGGUCUUCGGGUUGUAAACUCCUGUCAUUUGGGAACAAGGCUGCGCAGUUAACUGCUGCGUGAUUGAUAGUACCAGAAGAGGAAGAGACGGCUAACUCUGUG
RNAcentral lists this ribosomal RNA (159 nucleotides) under uncultured bacterium. RNAcentral describes it as "partial 16S ribosomal RNA". It matches the Rfam family "Bacterial small subunit ribosomal RNA", at positions 355 to 507 of the family's 1533-position model. The record is from RNAcentral.